UGUGUAGGCUGUUCUCUAAGUUUGGUGUGAAAUCUCCCGGCUUAACUGGGAGGGUGCGCCGAAAACUGGGGGGCUUGAGUAUGGGAGAGGAAAGCGGAAUUCCUGGUGUAGCGGUGAAAUGCGUAGAUAUCAGGAGGAACACCUGCGGUGUAGACAGCUUUCUGGACCAUCACUGACGCUGAGACACGAAAGCGUGGGUAGCAAACAGGAUUAGAUACCCUGGUAGUCCACGCCCUAAACGAUGCAUACUUGGUGUGAGCCGUUCAUUCGGUUCGUGCCGGAGCUAACGCGUUAAGUAUGCCGCCUGGGGAGUACGGUCGCAAGGCUGAA
Molecule: ribosomal RNA, 330 nt
Filed under: uncultured bacterium
Lineage: Bacteria
Description: bacterial SSU rRNA
Rfam family: Bacterial small subunit ribosomal RNA
Source: RNAcentral